RNAcentral lists this ribosomal RNA (541 nucleotides) under uncultured bacterium. RNAcentral describes it as "partial 16S ribosomal RNA". It matches the Rfam family "Bacterial small subunit ribosomal RNA", at positions 356 to 888 of the family's 1533-position model. The record is from RNAcentral.
AGGGAAUCUUCCACAAUGGACGCAAGUCUGAUGGAGCAACGCCGCGUGAGUGAAGAAGGUUUUCGGACCGUAAAGCUCUGUUGUUGGUGAAGAAGGAUAGAGGUAGUAACUGGCCUUUAUUUGACGGUAAUCAACCAGAAAGUCACGGCUAACUACGUGCCAGCAGCCGCGGUAAUACGUAGGUGGCAAGCGUUGUCCGGAUUUAUUGGGCGUAAAGCGAGCGCAGGCGGAAGAAUAAGUCUGAUGUGAAAGCCCUCGGCUUAACCGAGGAAUUGCAUCGGAAACUGUUUUCUUGAGUGCAGAAGAGGAGAGUAGAACUCCAUGUGUAGCGGUGGAAUGCGUAGAUAUAUGGAAGAAUACCAGUGGCGAAGGCGGCUCUCUGGUCUGCAACUGACGCUGAGGCUCGAAAGCAUGGGUAGCGAACAGGAUUAGAUACCCUGGUAGUCCAUGCCGUAAACGAUGAGUGCUAAGUGUUGGGAGGCUUCCGCCUCUCAGUGCUGCAGCUAACGCAUUAAGCACUCCGCCUGGGGGAGUACGACCG